GUGCUUGCUUAGGCAGCACAUACACUAAAAUUGGAACGAUACAGAGAUUAGCAUGGUCCCUGCACAAGGAUGACACCCAAAUUCAUGAAGUAUUCCAUAUUUUU
Molecule: small nuclear RNA, 104 nt
Filed under: Vicugna pacos (alpaca)
Lineage: Eukaryota; Metazoa; Chordata; Mammalia; Artiodactyla; Camelidae
Source: RNAcentral